RNAcentral lists this ribosomal RNA (253 nucleotides) under uncultured bacterium. Its description in RNAcentral is "partial 16S ribosomal RNA". It matches the Rfam family "Bacterial small subunit ribosomal RNA", at positions 524 to 776 of the family's 1533-position model. The record is from RNAcentral.
UACGUAGGUGGCAAGCGUUGUCCGGAUUUACUGGGCGUAAAGAGCGCGUAGGCGGUUUCUUAAGUCUGCUGUGAAAGCCCCGGGCUCAACCUGGGAAUGGCGGUGGAUACUGAGAAGCUGGAGUACGGUAGAGGAAGGUGGAAUUCCCGGUGUAGCGGUGAAAUGCGUAGAGAUCGGGAGGAACAUCAGUGGCGAAGGCGGCCUUCUGGACAGUGACUGACGCUGAGACGCGAAAGCGUGGGGAGCAAACAGG